Molecule: ribosomal RNA, 497 nt
Filed under: uncultured bacterium
Lineage: Bacteria
Description: partial 16S ribosomal RNA
Rfam family: Bacterial small subunit ribosomal RNA
Source: RNAcentral
GAUGAACGCUGGCGGCGUGCCUAAUACAUGCAAGUCGAGCGGACAGAUGAGGAGCUUGCUCCGUUGUCGUUAGCGGCGGGCGGGUGAGAAACACGUGUAUAACCUACCUAUAAGACUGGGAUCACUUCGGGAAACCGGAGCAAAUCCCGUAGAAUAUAUUGCACCGCAUGGGUCAAUAGUGAGAUACGGUGUUGGUGUCACUUAUAGAUGGAUCCGCGCCGCAUUAGCUAGUUGUUCAGGUAACGGCUUACCAAGGCGACUAUGCGUAGCCGACCUGUGAGGGUGAUCGGCGACAUGAGAGCUGAGACACGGUCCAUGCUACUAAGGGACGCAGCAGAAGGGAAUCGUCCGCAAUGGGCGAAAGCUUGGCGGAGCAAGCCGGCGUCAGUGAUGGAGGCGUCCGGAUCGUAAAACCCUGUUAUUAGUGAAGAACAACUGUGUCAGUAACUGUGCACGUAUUGACGGUACCUAAUCAGAAAGCCCCGGCUAACUACGUG